UACGUAGGGGGCAAGCGUUGUCCGGAAUCAUUGGGCGUAAAGCGCGUGUAGGCGGCUCGGUAAGUCUGCUGUGAAAGCCCAGGGCUCAACCCUGGGAUGCCGGUGGAUACUGUCGAGCUCGAGUCCGGAAGAGGCGAGUGGAAUUCCUGGUGUAGCGGUGAAAUGCGCAGAUAUCGGGAAGAACACCCGUGGCUAAGGCGGCUCUCUAGUACGGUACUGACGCUGAGACGCGAAAGCGUGGGGAGCGAACAGG
RNAcentral lists this ribosomal RNA (253 nucleotides) under uncultured bacterium. RNAcentral's name for it is "partial 16S ribosomal RNA". It matches the Rfam family "Bacterial small subunit ribosomal RNA", at positions 524 to 776 of the family's 1533-position model. The record is from RNAcentral.